GUGAUCAUAAAUUUUUGAACGCAAAUUGCGCUUCCUAGCAUCCCGGGAAGUAUGCCUGUUUGAGGGUCAGUAUUAACAAAAAAAUCGGUUUGGUUGCAAAUUGUGACGUUUCCGGAGUUUGGCUAACCUAACCUUUUUUGUUUAGGGGCUUAAAAUUGACCUUUUUUUCGCAUUUUUAGACGGUCCUAAAUUUUUUUUUUUUUUGUUUUAUUUUUAUUCCAAAAUCUUUUUAGAUUCGGUCACAU
RNAcentral lists this unclassified non-coding RNA (245 nucleotides) under Glomeraceae sp. Its description in RNAcentral is "partial contains 5.8S ribosomal RNA and internal transcribed spacer 2". The stretch from base 1 to 69 matches the Rfam family "5.8S ribosomal RNA", at positions 84 to 154 of the family's 154-position model. The record is from RNAcentral. Lineage: Eukaryota; Fungi; Glomeromycota; Glomeromycetes; Glomerales; Glomeraceae.